RNAcentral lists this ribosomal RNA (489 nucleotides) under uncultured Atopobium sp. RNAcentral describes it as "bacterial SSU rRNA". It matches the Rfam family "Bacterial small subunit ribosomal RNA", at positions 32 to 525 of the family's 1533-position model. The record is from RNAcentral. Lineage: Bacteria; Bacillati; Actinomycetota; Coriobacteriia; Coriobacteriales; Atopobiaceae.
GAUGAAACGCUGGCGGCGCGCCUAACACAUGCAAGUCGAACGGUUAAAGCAUCUUCGGAUGUGUAUAAAAGUGGCGAAACGGCUGAGUAACACGUGGGCAACCUGCCCUUUGCACUGGGAUAGCCUCGGGAAACCGAGGUUAAUACCGGAUACUCCAUAUUUGUCGCAUGGCGAAUAUGGAAAGCUCCGGCGGCAAAGGAUGGGCCCGCGGCCUGUUAGCUAGUUGGUGGGGUAGUGGCCUACCAAGGCAAUGAUGGGUAGCCGGGUUGAGAGACCGACCGGCCAGAUUGGGACUGAGACACGGCCCAGACUCCUACGGGAGGCAGCAGUGGGGAAUCUUGCACAAUGGGCGAAAGCCUGAUGCAGCGACGCCGCGUGCGGGAUGAAGGCCUUCGGGUUGUAAACCGCUUUCAGCAGGGACGAGGCCGCAAGGUGACGGUACCUGCAGAAGAAGCCCCGGCUAACUACGUGCCAGCAGCCGCGGUAAAU